UACGUAGGGUGCAAGCGUUGUCCGGAUUUAUUGGGCGUAAAGAGCGUGUAGGCGGCCAGACAGGUCCGUUGUGAAAACUAGAGGCUUAACCUCUAGACGUCGAUGGAAACCGUCUGGCUAGAGUCCGGAAGAGGAGAAUGGAAUUCCUGGUGUAGCGGUGAAAUGCGCAGAUAUCAGGAAGAACACCCGUGGCUAAGGCGGUUCUCUAGUACGGUACUGACGCUGAGACGCGAAAGCGUGGGGAGCGAACAGG
RNAcentral lists this ribosomal RNA (253 nucleotides) under uncultured bacterium. Its description in RNAcentral is "partial 16S ribosomal RNA". It matches the Rfam family "Bacterial small subunit ribosomal RNA", at positions 524 to 776 of the family's 1533-position model. The record is from RNAcentral.